This 494-nucleotide ribosomal RNA is filed under the name uncultured bacterium. RNAcentral describes it as "partial 16S ribosomal RNA". It matches the Rfam family "Bacterial small subunit ribosomal RNA", at positions 28 to 507 of the family's 1533-position model. The record is from RNAcentral.
GACGAACGCUGGCGGCGUGCUUAACACAUGCAAGUCGAACGGAAAGGCCUGCUUUCCCUUGUGGAUUGCGGGUACUCGAGUGGCGAACGGGUGAGUAACACGUGAGUGAUCUGCCCCCAACUUGGGUAUAAGCCUGGGAAACUGGGUCUAAUUCCCGAUAGGACUGCAGGGUGGUGCCUGUGGUGGAAAACGAUUUUCUAGUGGUUGGGGAUGAGCUCGCGGCCUAUCAGCUUGUUGGUGGGGUAAUGGCCUACCAAGGCGGCGACGGGUAGCCGGCCUGAGAGGGUGGACGGACACAUUGGGACUGAGAUACGGCCCAGACUCCGACGGGAGGCAGCAGUGGGGAAUAUUGCACAAUGGGCGGAAGCCUGAUGCAGCGACGCCGCGUGGGGGAUGACGGCCUUCGGGUUGUAAACUCCUUUCGACCGCGAGGAAGCCACCUGGUUGGAAGGGUGGUGACGGUAGUGGUAGAAGAAGCACCGGCUAACUACGUG